GACGAACGCUGGCGGCGUGCCUAAUACAUGCAAGUUGAGCGCUGAAGGUUGGUGCUUGUACCAACUGGAUGAGCAGCGAACGGGUGAGUAACGCGUGGGUAAUCUGCCUUUGAGCGGGGGACAACAUCGGGAAACGAAUGCUAAUACCGCAUAAAAACUUUAAACACAAGUUUUAAGUUUGAAAGACGCAAUUGCAUCACUCAAAGAUUAUCCCGCGUUGUAUUAGCUAGUUGGUGAGGUAAAGGCUCACCAAGGCGAUGAUACAUAGCCGACCUGAGAGGGUGAUCGCCCAAAUUGGAACUGAGAAACGGCCCAAACCCCUACGGGAGGCGGCAGUGGGGAAUCUUCGGAAAUGGCGGAAAGUCUGCCCGAGCAACGCCGCGUGAGUAAAGAAGGUUUUCGGAUCGUAAAACUCUGUUGGUAGGGAAGAACGUUGGUGAGGGUGGAAAGCACAUCAAGUGGCGGUAACUACAGAGAGAGGGACGGAUAAAUACG
Molecule: ribosomal RNA, 495 nt
Filed under: uncultured bacterium
Lineage: Bacteria
Description: partial 16S ribosomal RNA
Rfam family: Bacterial small subunit ribosomal RNA
Source: RNAcentral